RNAcentral lists this non-coding RNA (64 nucleotides) under Enterobacteriaceae bacterium strain FGI 57. The record is from RNAcentral. Lineage: Bacteria; Pseudomonadati; Pseudomonadota; Gammaproteobacteria; Enterobacterales; Enterobacteriaceae.
UUCGUUACGACAUUGCUCACAUUGCUUCCAGUAUUAUUUGCCCGCUUCGUGCGGGCUUUUUUUU